AUCUGUAACUGCUGGGAACCCUCCUCCUGCCUCUGCUUCCUGCCCGAACUUUCCGAUUUCUGGUCUGCCGCAGCCUGUGACCUUGGGGUUUCCAGUCCAAUAAGGGUGUCAACGCUGAACUUAAACACUGGCAUAGCACCCUCUAGAAUGGCUAAAAUGAAAGGACAAAUCUACCCAGGGUCGGGGAGGAUGUGCAGCAGCAGACUUCUUAGUCACUGCUGGUAGGAAUACGGACACUUUCCACAACUGUUUGGUGGCAUCUACAGAGCCAAAAGCAUCCACUUGGGCCUGGCAAUUCCACCCCAGGUGUGUUCACCAAAGACAUGUAUGUACCAGGACACACACAGAAGCUCUGCACAUCACCAGGAAUCCCCCAAAGCUCGUUCCAGCCAUUAUGGAAUGAAUAUGUCAAUUAAUUGCAGAGUCUUCACAUGGUGGAACAGGACACAGCACUGAGAACAAAGCAUCUACAACUACACAUAAGAGCAUGGAUGAAUCUCCCAAACAUCACGGUUUAAUACACUUCAUUAUUGAAAGAAGGAAAGAAUAAAAGAAGGAAGGAAAGAAGGUGACACUGAGGCUCAGGGAGGUGAAGAUAAGAUGUUCAAGGUAAUGGAAUUGGAAUGUGGUAGAUUCAGGAUUUGAAUUGUAAUUUUCCUGGCACCAGCAGAAGGAGCAGAAGGUAGAAGUGGGGAUUGGUGGGGUUGGGGAUCCUGGCUGGGUCAUACAUCUGCAAAGAGUUUGCACUUUUCCCUGCAAGCAAGAUUGCAACGUGGCAGCCCUUGAACCAAAUUCUGCCUGCAGGUGUGCUUUAUUUGCCUACAUGGUG
Long non-coding RNA from Choloepus didactylus (southern two-toed sloth), 829 nucleotides. RefSeq lists it as uncharacterized. The record is from RefSeq and is a predicted model, not a curated record. The transcript has 3 exons. Lineage: Eukaryota; Metazoa; Chordata; Mammalia; Pilosa; Megalonychidae.